UACGGAGGGUGCGAGCGUUGUCCGGAAUCACUGGGCGUAAAGGGCGCGUAGGUGGCGACCCAAGUCGAUGGUGAAAGCUCGCCGCUCAACGGCGAGUCGGCCACCGAUACUGGGUUGCUGGAGCACUGUAGAGGCUCAUGGAAUUCCGGGUGUAGCGGUGGAAUGCGUAGAGAUCCGGAAGAACACCGGUGGCGAAGGCGGUGAGCUGGGCAGUUGCUGACACUGAGGCGCGACAGCGUGGGGAGCAAACAGG
RNAcentral lists this ribosomal RNA (253 nucleotides) under uncultured bacterium. RNAcentral describes it as "partial 16S ribosomal RNA". It matches the Rfam family "Bacterial small subunit ribosomal RNA", at positions 524 to 776 of the family's 1533-position model. The record is from RNAcentral.